GUGUGAUUUUUGGACUUGUUGGUGAAUAUGCUUGUGAAGGGCUAUACCUUGCUGAAGGAUUGUAACUUGGUGAGGUUGGACUGUAAGUUGGUGAGGUGGGACUGUAUCCAGGCGAAGUUGGGCUGUAGGCAGGUGAGGUUGGGCUAUAUGAUGGCGAGGUUGGGCUGUACGAUGGAGAGGUUGGGCUAUAUGAAGGUGAGGUUGGGCUGUAAGAUGGAGAGGUUGGGCUGUAAGAGGGUGAGGUAGGGCUGUAAGAGGGUGAUGUGGGGCUGUAAGACGGAGACGUGGGGCUGUAAGCCGGAGAGGUUGGGCUAUACGCAGGUGAGGUUGGGCUGUAUGCUGGAGAAGUUGGGCUGUAGCUCGGAGAUGUAGGGCUGUAGCUCGGAGAUGUGGGGCUAUAGCUAGGAGAUGUUGGGCUGUAGGAAGGAGACGUU
Molecule: long non-coding RNA, 434 nt
Filed under: Salvia miltiorrhiza (redroot sage)
Lineage: Eukaryota; Viridiplantae; Streptophyta; Magnoliopsida; Lamiales; Lamiaceae
Description: long non-coding RNA (SMIL_LNC006841)
Source: RNAcentral